RNAcentral lists this ribosomal RNA (3348 nucleotides) under Triticum aestivum (bread wheat). RNAcentral's name for it is "partial small subunit ribosomal RNA". The record is from RNAcentral. Lineage: Eukaryota; Viridiplantae; Streptophyta; Magnoliopsida; Poales; Poaceae.
AUGGGGCUAAUUUCAUGGCAUCAUUUAAUUCUCUUCUCCAACCUAGUCUCGCUCUGCUGCGGUUUGAGUUCAGAUGGCCAUGCCCUUCUGGCUCUCUCCAGGAGGCUCAUACUACCUGAUACCAUAAGCUCGAACUGGAGUUCUUCUGAUACAACUCCCUGUGUAUGGAAGGGAGUUCAGUGCGAGAUGAACAAUGUAGUUCACCUCAAUCUAUCAUACUCCAAAGUUUCUGGUUCCAUUGGUCCUGAGGUAGGGCUUAUGAAGUACCUGCGUCAACUCGAUCUGUCAAGCAACAACAUCUCCGGUCCGAUCCCUCGUGAACUAGGCAAUUGUGUUCUGCUUGAUCUGCUGGAUCUGUCAGGUAACAGCCUUUCCGGUGGGAUCCCGGCAUCCCUCGUGAAGCUGAAGAAGCUAUCACAGCUGGCUUUGUACAGCAACUCCCUCAGUGGAGAGAUACCCGAGGGACUGUUCAAGAACCGGUUUCUGGAGCGGGUGUAUCUCCAAGACAAUAAACUCAGUGGCUCUAUCCCUUCAUCGAUUGGUGAAAUGAAGAGUCUGAAAUACUUUAGGUUGGAUGGGAACAUGUUGUCCGGAGCUCUGCCGGACUCAAUUGGCAACUGCACCAAGUUGGAGAAUCUGUAUCUAUAUGAUAACAAACUGAAUGGGAGUCUUCCGAGAUCAUUGAGCAACAUCAAAGGGCUCGUGCUCUUUGAGGCCAACAACAACAGUUUUACAGGUGACAUCUCUUUCAGAUUCAAGAGCUGCAAGCUUGAAGUGUUUGUGCUAUCUUGGAAUCAGAUCAGUGGGGAAAUCCCGGGGUGGCUGGGAAAUUGUAGCAGCUUAAUCAGACUUGCAUUUCUCCACAACCGUCUCUCUGGCCAGAUACCGACUUCACUCGGUUUAUUGAAAAAACUAUCAAUCCUUAUACUUACCCAGAAUUCUUUGUCUGGGCUGAUCCCUCCUGAGAUUGGUAGCUGUCGGUCGCUGGUGUGGCUGGAGCUGGACGCGAACCAGCUCGAGGGCACCGUUCCGAAACAGCUGGAUAAUCUGCGUAACUUGCAGCAGCUAUUUCUGUUUGAGAAUCGCCUCAGUGGGGAGUUCCCUCAGGAUAUUUGGGGCAUCCAAGGCCUCGAAUCCGUCCUUCUGUACAACAACAGCUUAUCUGGGGCCCUACCUCCAAUGUCGGCCGAGUUGAAGCACCUAAAGUUCGUCAAACUACAGGAUAACCUGUUCACUGGAGUCAUACCACCAGGAUUUGGGAUUAACAGCCCUUUAAUACAGAUUGACUUCACAAAUAAUAGGUUUGUUGGUGGAAUUCCGCCGAACAUUUGUUCAGGUAAAAGAUUGAAAGUUUGGAACUUGGGGCAUAAUUUUCUCAAUGGUACCAUCCCGUCCACUGUGGCUAACUGCCCAAGUUUGGAACGAAUUCGUCUCCAUAACAACAGUCUCAGUGGGCAAGUUCCGCAAUUCCAAGACUGUGCAAAUCUGCGGUACAUAGAUUUGAGUCACAAUUCCUUAAGUGGUCCUAUUCCUGCAAGCUUGGGCAGGUGUGCUAACAUUACAGCGAUAAACUGGUCUGAAAACAAGCUUGGUGGUCCAAUACCACCCGAACUCGGACAAUUAGUGAAGUUGGAAAGUCUUGACCUCUCCCACAACAGCCUAGAGGGGGAAAUUCCUGCACAGAUUUCCAGUUGUUCGAAGUUGCACUUGCUUGAUUUGAGUUUCAACUCUUUGAAUGGUUCUGUGCUCACAACAGUAUGCAAGCUGGAGUUCAUGUUAAAUCUGCGGCUACAGGGCAAUAGAUUAAGUGGAGGCAUUCCAGAUUGUAUCUCGCAGUUACAUGGGCUAGUCGAGCUACAACUUGGUGGCAAUGUUCUUGGGGGCAAUCUCCCUUCAUCAUUAGGAACUUUGAAAAGAUUGAGUACUUCAUUAAACCUUAGCAGCAAUGGGCUUGAGGGCAGCAUUCCAUCUCAAUUAGGCGACUUGGUGGAUCUUGCAAAUCUGGAUUUGUCAGUUAAUAAUCUCAGUGGGAGUCUUGCUCCGUUAGGAAGUCUACGUGCAUUAUAUGCCCUGAAUCUUUCCAAUAACAGAUUCAGCGGGCCAGUGCCAGAUAAUCUUUUACUACAGUUUAUGAAUUCCACACCAAGUCCAUUCAGUGGAAAUUCAGGUCUCUGUAUGCCUUGUCAUGAUGUUGGUUCUUCUUGCAAGGGAGCUAAUGUUUUGGAACCUUGUAGUUCAUUGAGGAAAAGAGGAGUACACAGCCGAGUCAAGAUAGCUAUGAUAUGUCUUGGUUCAGUUUUGCUCGGUGCAUUUAUGAUACUCUGUAUCUUUCUGAAAUACAGAGGUUCCAAGACUAAACCUGAGGGAGAGUUAAAUCCAUUUUUUGGGGAUUCAUCUUCUAAAUUAAAUGAAGUUUUGGAAUCAAUUGAAAACUUUGAUGACAAGUACAUCAUCGGCACAGGUGGCCAAGGAACUGUAUACAAGGCAACAUUGAGGUCAGGAGAAGUAUAUGCCGUGAAGAAGCUUGUGGGUCAUGCACACAAGAUUUUGCAUGGAAGCAUGAUAAGGGAGAUGAAUACGCUUGGUCAAAUUAGGCAUAGGAACUUAGUAAAACUAAAGGAUGUUUUGUUCAGGCGUGAGUAUGGGUUGAUCCUCUAUGAAUUUAUGGACAAUGGCAGCCUUUAUGAUGUUCUGCAUGGGACCGAGCCAGCUCCAGUUCUAGAGUGGAGGACACGGUAUGACAUAGCUCUUGGUACAGCACAUGGUUUAGCUUAUCUCCACAAUGACUGCCACCCAGCCAUUAUUCACCGUGACGUUAAACCGAAAAAUAUACUGUUAGAUAAGGACAUGGUACCACAUAUUUCAGACUUUGGCAUUGCAAAGCUUAUCGACCUAUCUCCUGCUGCUUCAGAAACUACUGGAAUCGUUGGCACUGUUGGGUAUAUGGCCCCAGAGAUGGCAUUUUCAACCAGGAGUACCGUAGAGUUCAACGUGUACAGCUAUGGAGUGGUAUUACUCGAACUGAUUACCAGAAAGAUGGCCCUGGAUCCCUCAUUUCCUGACAAUGUGGAUCUAGUCAGCUGGGUAUCCUCCACCUUGAAUGAGGGCAACAUAAUCGAAUCAGUGUGCGACCCUGCUCUAGUGCGUGAGGUAUGUGGCACUGCUGAACUUGAGGAAGUAUGCAGUGUGCUGUCGAUAGCCCUUAGAUGCACCGCGGAGGAUGCAGGAAAGAGGCCUUCCAUGAUGGAUGUUGUGAAAGAGCUGACACGUGCUAGGCGCGAGGUUGUAUCACUACCGAAGCAGGCGAUAUCUGGUUCCAGCAGUUCCUGUCAAAACCUGGCAACUUGA